Molecule: long non-coding RNA, 345 nt
Filed under: Homo sapiens (human)
Lineage: Eukaryota; Metazoa; Chordata; Mammalia; Primates; Hominidae
Description: HSALNT0357428
Source: RNAcentral
UUGAAGGCACACAUCACAAACUAGUUUCUACGAAUGACUCUGUGUACUUUUAAUAUGAAGAUAUUUCCAUGUCUAUGAUUGGCGUCAAAUCGCUUGAAAUCUCCACUUGCAAAUUCCACAAAAAGAGUGUUUCAAAACUGCUCUGAAUAAAGGAAGGUUCCACUCUGUGAGUUGAAUACACACAACACAAAGGAUUUACUGAGAAUUCUUCUGUCUAGCAUUAUAUGAAGAAAUCCCCUUUCCAACGAAGGCCUCAAUGAAGUCCAAAAAAGCAAUUGCAGGCUUUACAAACAGAGGGUUUCCAAACUGCUCUAUGAAAAGAAAGGUUAAACUUUGUGAGUUGAA